This 253-nucleotide ribosomal RNA is filed under the name uncultured bacterium. RNAcentral describes it as "partial 16S ribosomal RNA". It matches the Rfam family "Bacterial small subunit ribosomal RNA", at positions 524 to 776 of the family's 1533-position model. The record is from RNAcentral.
UACGUAGGUGGCAAGCGUUAUCCGGAAUUAUUGGGCGUAAAGAGCGCGCAGGUGGUUAAUUGAGUCUGAUGUGAAAGCCCACGGCUUAACCGUGGAGGGUCAUUGGAAACUGGUUGACUUGAGUGCAGAAGAGGGAAGUGGAAUUCCAUGUGUAGCGGUGAAAUGCGUAGAGAUAUGGAGGAACACCAGUGGCGAAGGCGGCUUCCUGGUCUGCAACUGACACUGAGGCGCGAAAGCGUGGGGAGCAAACAGG